Molecule: long non-coding RNA, 357 nt
Filed under: Equus caballus (horse)
Lineage: Eukaryota; Metazoa; Chordata; Mammalia; Perissodactyla; Equidae
Description: lncRNA (ENSECAG00000050834.1)
Source: RNAcentral
CCCUUCCGCAGGACGUCCUAGCACCGCCUUCUUCUCGGAGCCCUACCCGGGCUUUCGCAACACCUACAGCUCAGAGGUAACAUCACUGGGAGAAUGUAUGGACACUGGUAACACUAAUUGCCUCUGAAAACAGGGUCUAUAGGUUGGAUGUGGCUCUGCUAGGCUUAACUGGAAUCAGUUGGGCUUGACUUCAGGCUGCUGGUUGGGUUCAAGCCUGUUCCAUAUAUUUCCUCAUUCUUCUUGGACCAGUGGCUACCUGGAACAUGUUCUUCCCCCGGAGGGUCACUGGAGUCCAAGAGAGCAUGUGCAUUUCUCAUACUGCUAAGUGAUCUCUCUGAUCUGAUUGUAUUCAAUUCG